UGAACGCUGGCGGUAGGCCUAACACAUGCAAAUCGAACGGCAGCACAGUAAGAGCUUGCUCUUACGGGUGGCGAGUGGCGGACGGGUGAGGAAUACAUCGGAAUCUACUUUUUCGUGGGGGAUAACGUAGGGAAACUUACGCUAAUGCCGCAUACGACCUACGGGUGAAAGCAGGGGAUCUUCGGACCUUGCGCGAUUGAAUGAGCCGAUGUCGGAUUAGCUAGUUGGCGGGGUAAAGGCCCACCAAGGCGACGAUCCGUAGCUGGUCUGAGAGGAUGAUCAGCCACACUGGAACUGAGACAAGGUCCAGACUCCUACGGGAGGCAGCAGUGGGGAAUAUUGGACAAUGGGCGCAAGCCUGAUCCAGCCAUACCGCGUGGGUGAAGAAGGCCUUCGGGUUGUAAAGCCCUUUUGUUGGGAAAGAAAAGCAGCAGGUUAAUACCCCGCUGUUCUGACGGUACCCAAAGAAUAAGCACCGGCUAACUUCGUG
This 490-nucleotide ribosomal RNA is filed under the name uncultured bacterium. RNAcentral's name for it is "partial 16S ribosomal RNA". It matches the Rfam family "Bacterial small subunit ribosomal RNA", at positions 30 to 507 of the family's 1533-position model. The record is from RNAcentral.